AUUGAACGCUGGCGGCAUGCCUUACACAUGCAAGUCGAACGGCAGCACGGACUUCGGUCUGGUGGCGAGUGGCGAACGGGUGAGUAAUGUAUCGGAACGUACCUUUCAGUGGGGGAUAACGUAGCGAAAGUUACGCUAAUACCGCAUAUUCUGUGAGCAGGAAAGCAGGGGAUCGAAAGACCUUGCGCUGAUUGAGCGGCCGAUAUCAGAUUAGCUAGUUGGUGGGGUAAAGGCCUACCAAGGCGACGAUCUGUAGCGGGUCUGAGAGGAUGAUCCGCCACACUGGAACUGAGACACGGUCCAGACUCCUACGGGAGGCAGCAGUGGGGAAUUUUGGACAAUGGGGGCAACCCUGAUCCAGCCAUGCCGCGUGAGUGAAGAAGGCCUUCGGGUUGUAAAGCCCUUUCGGCCGGGAAGAAAUCGCAUAGGCUAAUACCCUGUGUGGAUGACGGUACCGGAAGAAGAAGCACCGGCUAACUACGUG
RNAcentral lists this ribosomal RNA (484 nucleotides) under uncultured bacterium. RNAcentral describes it as "partial 16S ribosomal RNA". It matches the Rfam family "Bacterial small subunit ribosomal RNA", at positions 30 to 507 of the family's 1533-position model. The record is from RNAcentral.